UACGGCCACAUCACGUUGAAGCAUCGGUUCCUGUACGAUCAGCGAAGUUUAGCAACGUUGAGCCUGUUCAGUACCUAGAUAGAUAACCGCAUGUGAAUACCAGGUGCU
RNAcentral lists this ribosomal RNA (108 nucleotides) under Acanthosepion pharaonis. The record is from RNAcentral. Lineage: Eukaryota; Metazoa; Mollusca; Cephalopoda; Sepiida; Sepiidae.